UACAGAGGGUGCAAGCGUUGUUCGGAAUUAUUGGGCGUAAAGCGCGCGCAGGCGGUCGGGUAAGUCUGAUGUUAAAGCCCGGGGCUCAACCCCGGUUCGCAUUGGAAACUGCUCGACUUGAGUGCAGAAGAGGAAAGCGGAAUUCCACGUGUAGCGGUGAAAUGCGUAGAGAUGUGGAGGAACGCCAGUGGCGAAGGCGGCUUUCUGGUCUGUAACUGACGCUGAGGCGCGAAAGCGUGGGGAGCAAACAGG
Molecule: ribosomal RNA, 252 nt
Filed under: uncultured bacterium
Lineage: Bacteria
Description: partial 16S ribosomal RNA
Rfam family: Bacterial small subunit ribosomal RNA
Source: RNAcentral